Molecule: ribosomal RNA, 449 nt
Filed under: uncultured bacterium
Lineage: Bacteria
Description: partial 16S ribosomal RNA
Rfam family: Bacterial small subunit ribosomal RNA
Source: RNAcentral
AACGAACGCUGGCGGCAGGCCUAACACAUGCAAGUCGAACGCUCCAGCAAUGGAGAGUGGCAGACGGGUGAGUAACGCGUGGGAACCUACCCUUUGGUUCGGAAUAGCUCAGGGAAACUUGAGGUAAUACCGGAUAAGCCCUUCGGGGGAAAGAUUUAUCGCCAAUGGAUGGGCCCGCGUCGGAUUAGCUAGUUGGUGGGGUAACGGCCUACCAAGGCGACGAUCCGUAGCUGGUCUGAGAGGAUGAUCAGCCACACUGGGACUGAGACACGGCCCAGACUCCUACGGGAGGCGGCAGUGGGGAAUAUUGGACAAUGGGCGCAAGCCUGAUCCAGCCAUGCCGCGUGAGUGACGAAGGUCUUCGGAUUGUAAAGCUCUUUUGGCGGGGAAGAUAAUGACGGUACCCGCAGAAUAAGUCCCGGCUAACUUCGUGCCAGCCGCCGCCGUAA